This 253-nucleotide ribosomal RNA is filed under the name uncultured bacterium. Its description in RNAcentral is "partial 16S ribosomal RNA". It matches the Rfam family "Bacterial small subunit ribosomal RNA", at positions 524 to 776 of the family's 1533-position model. The record is from RNAcentral.
UACGUAGGGGGCUAGCGUUGUCCGGAAUCAUUGGGCGUAAAGAGCGUGUAGGCGGCCCGGUAAGUCCGCUGUGAAAGUCGGGGGCUCAACCCUCGAAUGCCGGUGGAUACUGUCGGGCUAGAGUGCGGAAGAGGCGAGUGGAAUUCCUGGUGUAGCGGUGAAAUUCGUAGAUAUCGGGAGGAACACCAGUGACGAAGGCGGCGAUCUGGGUUGAUACUGACGCUGAGGUGCGAAAGCGUGGGGAGCAAACAGG